RNAcentral lists this ribosomal RNA (518 nucleotides) under uncultured bacterium. RNAcentral's name for it is "bacterial SSU rRNA". It matches the Rfam family "Bacterial small subunit ribosomal RNA", at positions 992 to 1509 of the family's 1533-position model. The record is from RNAcentral.
AGAACUUAGCAGAGAUGCUUUGGUGCCUUCGGGAACUCUGAGACAGGUGCUGCAUGGCUGUCGUCAGCUCGUGUUGUGAAAGUGUUGGGUUAAGUCCCGCAACGAGCGCAACCCUUAUCCUUUGUUGCCAGCGGUCCGGCCGGGAACUCAAAGGAGACUGCCAGUGAUAAACUGGAGGAAGGUGGGGAUGACGUCAAGUCAUCAUGGCCCUUACGAGUAGGGCUACACACGUGCUACAAUGGCGCAUACAAAGAGAAGCGACCUCGCGAGAGCAAGCGGACCUCAUAAAGUGCGUCGUAGUCCGGAUUGGAGUCUGCAACUCGACUCCAUGAAGUCGGAAUCGCUAGUAAUCGUAGAUCAGAAUGCUACGGUGAAUACGUUCCCGGGCCUUGUACACACCGCCCGUCACACCAUGGGAGUGGGUUGCAAAAGAAGUAGGUAGCUUAACCUUCGGGAGGGCGCUUACCACUUUGUGAUUCAUGACUGGGGUGAAGUCGUAACAAGGUAAGCGUAGCGAG